This 1325-nucleotide ribosomal RNA is filed under the name metagenome. RNAcentral describes it as "bacterial LSU rRNA". It matches the Rfam family "Bacterial large subunit ribosomal RNA", at positions 1589 to 2925 of the family's 2925-position model. The record is from RNAcentral.
UGUGGAGGAUUCCGCACUGACGAGAAAAGCCACUAUUUAGGGAGAUGGUACCCGUACCGCAAACCGACACAGGUAGGUGAGGAGAGAAUCCUAAGACGAGCGGGAGAAGUGUUGUUAAGGAACUCGGCAAAUUAGCCUCGUAAGUUAGCGAGAAGGGGUGCCUGGGAGACCAGGCCGCAGUGAAGAGGCCCAAGCAACCGUUUAUCAAAAACACAGGUCUCUGCUAAAUCGAAAGAUGAAGUAUAGGGGCUGACGCCUGCCCGGUGCUGGAAGGUUACGUGGAUCCGUUAGAGCAAUCGAAGCGGUGAAACUAAGCCCCAGUAAACGGCGGCCGUAACGAUAACGGUCCUAAGGUAGCGAAAUUCCUUGUCGGGUAAGUUCCGACCCGCACGAAUGGCGUAAUGACUUGGGCACUGUCUCAACAACACACCCGGUGAAAUUGUAGUACUCGUAAAGAUGCGAGUUACCCGCGACAAGACGGAAAGACCCCAUGGAGCCUUACUGUAGCCUGAUACUGGGUUUUGAUAUUUUUUGUACAGGAUAGGUGGGAGACGGAGAAUCAUGGGCGCCAGCCUAUGAGGAGUCAACGUUGGGAUACCACUCUAAAAGUAUUGAAGCUCUAAUCAGAACUCUUGAAACAGGGUUUGGGACACUGUCAGGUGGGCAGUUUGACUGGGGCGGUCGCCUCCAAAAAGGUAACGGAGGCGUCCAAAGGUUACCUCAGCGCGGUUGGAAAUCGCGUUAACAGAGUGUAAAGGCAGAAGGUAGCCUGACUGCGAGACAAACAAGUCGAGCAGGUACGAAAGUAGGGCUUAGUGAUCCGGCGGUAUGAAAGUGGGAUUGCCGUCGCUUAACGGAUAAAAGCUACCCUGGGAUAACAGGCUUAUCUCCCCCAAGAGUCCAUAUCGACGGGGAGGUUUGGCACCUCGAUGUCGGCUCAUCGCAUCCUGGAGCUGAAGUAGGUUCCAAGGGUUUGGCUGUUCGCCAAUUAAAGCGGUACGCGAGCUGGGUUCAGAACGUCGUGAGACAGUUCGGUCCCUAUCUGUCGUGGGCGUAGGAUAUUUGAGAGGAGCUGUCCUUAGUACGAGAGGACCGGGAUGGACAGACCAAUGGUGCACCAGUUGUCACGCCAGUGGCACAGCUGGGUAGCCAAGUCUGGAAGGGAUAAACGCUGAAAGCAUCUAAGCGUGAAGCCCCCCUCAAGAUGAGAUAUCCCACCAUUUUAUAUGGAUAAGACCCCAUGAAGACUACAUGGUAGAUAGGCCAAAGGUGUAAGUGCAGUAAUGUAUUUAGCUGAUUGGUACUAAUAGGUCGAAGGCUUGACC